UGUGUAGGCUCAGUGGUAGAGCACUUGCCUAGCAUGCGCCAGACCCUGGGUUUUAUCCCCAGCACUGCAAAA
RNAcentral lists this transfer RNA (72 nucleotides) under Marmota monax (woodchuck). RNAcentral describes it as "tRNA.Ala". The record is from RNAcentral. Lineage: Eukaryota; Metazoa; Chordata; Mammalia; Rodentia; Sciuridae.